GAAUGAAUACAUGAGCGAUAAAUUGUGGAGAAUUCAAACUUGAAUCUCACCAAAGGCAGAGUGUAUUUCUCUGCUCCACUGAUGAUACCUCACUUGGCCAUGUGACUUGCUUUGACCAAUGGGAUGUAUGUGAAUAUGAAGCAGGCAAAGGCUUGAAAUGUGGAGACUUGUGACGCAAACCUGAACCAGACCUGCAUCCUGGAGCCAAGCCCUGCCAAGUGCAGUCGUGACUAGGAGACCCACCGCUGCAGACAGGUGGGCAAGAUUUUUCCUUUGAGAUGGUUCAUCUAUAUGUUCUGCUGAGCUGGAAUGUCGAUGUUGAGUUCAUUGUCUCUGGAAUUUUUACUGCAUGUAGAUAGAACAUAGUUUUCUUUUACUUACCUUUUAUUAAAUUUGA
Bos taurus (domestic cattle) is the source of this 397-nucleotide long non-coding RNA. The record is from Ensembl. NCBI's taxonomy places the organism in Eukaryota, Metazoa, Chordata, Mammalia, Artiodactyla, Bovidae.